RNAcentral lists this ribosomal RNA (398 nucleotides) under Myroides odoratus. RNAcentral describes it as "bacterial SSU rRNA". It matches the Rfam family "Bacterial small subunit ribosomal RNA", at positions 348 to 739 of the family's 1533-position model. The record is from RNAcentral. Lineage: Bacteria; Pseudomonadati; Bacteroidota; Flavobacteriia; Flavobacteriales; Flavobacteriaceae.
GCAGCAGUGAGGGAAUAUUGGUCAAUGGGAGGCAACUCUGAACCAGCCAUGCCGCGUGCAGGAUGACGGUCCUAUGGAUUGUAAACUGCUUUUGUACGGGAAGAAAUGGUAAUUACGUGUAAUUAUUUGACGGUACCGUAAGAAUAAGGAUCGGCUAACUCCGUGCCAGCAGCCGCGGUAAUACGGAGGAUCCGAGCGUUAUCCGGAAUUAUUGGGUUUAAAGGGUUUCGUAGGCGGUUGAGUAAGUCAGUGGUGAAAUCUUAUAGCUUAACUAUAAAAUUGCCGUUGAUACUGCUUGACUUGAAUAGUAUGGAAGUAAUUAGAAUAUGUAGUGUAGCGGUGAAAUGCUUAGAUAUUACAUGGAAUACCAAUUGCGAAGGCAGAUUACUACGUACUUA